GCUGAGCACGCUGACCGGGUGCCUAUCUUGGAGUCACCCCCAUGACCUGCCGGCUUCCCUCGGUCCCUGCUCUGAUGACACAGGAUGACAGCGUGUUUGAGUAUUUCCACAGGCUGACGCUUUCCCAAGGGCCAACACCUCUGUGUAAAGAGCCUGAGCCCAACCCCGGGUCCAACAGAGCGCUGAGAUAAGCUGUCGCGGGAGCCCGGGCUGGGGACUUUCGAGGUUUAUGAUGUCAGCGGGCUGCAGAGAGCCUCGAGCAGGGUCCAGACGCUGCGGAUUCCUGCAGAACACGGGUGGCCACGGGACCCUCCACACUGGCUGUCGGGCAAAGCUGAGUUCUCCCCUCUGCAUUGGAGGUGGGGCUGGCCGGGCUGGUGGGACAGGUGGCAGAAAGUCCAAAACUCUCCUUUGGGGAUAAAGGGAAGCUACGUGAUGGUUCCGCAGUUCACCAGAACGCUCCAGGCCUGAUCCUCCUGGACCGGCUACGGAAGCAGGACAGCUCAUGGCAAGAUUUCUGAAACUGCCCGCCCCCCCGAAGUCCCAGCCAGACAGAGGACUCAGAAUUGACCCAUUAAUAUUUAAACCACAGUGGCCACUCACCAUCAGGUGACGGCAGAAGGCAGCGGAGCUGGCCAGCAGCUGCCCCAGAAAUCCUGUCCUCAAACUGCCAAGGUCAGUGCACUGUGGACUCCAGUAGCUUCCUGGAGCUCACUGGGAAAAGCCGGGGUAAGCAUGGUACCUACGUCCUCGGCUCAACAGAAAAUUCCCUCGGAAGACCCUCAGGCACCAGUUAGCACGGUAAGCAUUUAUUAUUAAUGAGGCAUAAGCAAGCAUUUAUUAUAAUAAUGCUAUUAUUAUUAUUAUUAGUGCUAAAAAUUAUCUAUAAGCCUGUCCCCUUCCUCCUACUAGGCAAAGUCGGGAUUCCAAAGUGAACAGCGGGUGCCUUUCGGGACACUCGCACGUGGCCACCUCAAUGAUACGUCCCAAUGAAUAAUUGGAUGUUAUUGAAACUCUCCUUGUUCGGAGCCGAGGACUGCAUAGAGCCCAACCCACCUGGCGAUCGUGUUCUUCCAAUUUUAACGGCGGAAUCAUUCAUAAAUAAGAAACGGCUUCUUGUUUUGUAUGAAUCAAUUCACAAGAUAAAUAUUUAAAUAAAAUGUGGCUUCAAUUGUGCUCUCGGAUGAUAAUUGCUGGCUCACACUCUGUUUCUGUAUCAAUGUGUUUUCUUUUAUUCCCCGCGCUGACUAAUGAACGGAGCUGUCAGAAGCCCAUUGCUCACGAUCUCGCGGGCAACACAUUAGUAGUUCCCCAUAAAU
Molecule: long non-coding RNA, 1319 nt
Filed under: Marmota monax (woodchuck)
Lineage: Eukaryota; Metazoa; Chordata; Mammalia; Rodentia; Sciuridae
Source: RNAcentral